CCUACGGGAGGCAGCAGUGAGGAAUAUUGGACAAUGGGCGAGAGCCUGAUCCAGCCAUGCCGCGUGCAGGAAGACUGCCCUAUGGGUUGUAAACUGCUUUUAUACAGGAAGAAUAAGCCUUACGUGUAAGGUGAUGACGGUACUGUAAGAAUAAGGACCGGCUAACUCCGUGCCAGCAGCCGCGGUAAUACGGAGGGUCCGAGCGUUAUCCGGAAUUAUUGGGUUUAAAGGGUCCGUAGGCGGAUGAUUAAGUCAGGGGUGAAAGUUUGCAGCUCAACUGUAAAAUUGCCUUUGAUACUGGUUAUCUUGAGUUGUAUUGAAGUAGGCGGAAUAUGUAGUGUAGCGGUGAAAUGCAUAGAUAUUACAUAGAACACCAAUUGCGAAGGCAGCUUACUAAGUACUAACUGACGCUGAUGGACGAAAGCGUGGGUAGCGAACAGGAUUAGAUACCCUGGUAGUCCACGCCGUAAACGAUGGAUACUAGCUGUUCGGGGCCUUGAGCUCUGAGCGGCUAAGCGAAAGUGAUAAGUAUCCCACCUGGGGAGUACGUUCGCAAGAAUGAAACUCAAAGGAAUUGACGGA
RNAcentral lists this ribosomal RNA (582 nucleotides) under uncultured bacterium. RNAcentral describes it as "bacterial SSU rRNA". It matches the Rfam family "Bacterial small subunit ribosomal RNA", at positions 338 to 917 of the family's 1533-position model. The record is from RNAcentral.